GCUUCUUCCUGUUUAUCUUGUUGAAGACUAUCUUUCCAUAAGUUGAAUUCCAUUUUGUCCAUAUCUGGUGGGUAAAAAUUUGCACCAGGAGGUUUCACAGCAGGAAAUGCUGUUCUAUAUUCAAAACCCUUCCAGCCUGGUACAGGCUUUGUUGCAUUCGGAAGAAGCUUGACAGCUGAAUCUGCAGUCGUCAAAAAAGCCUCAUUUUCAUCCAGGCAAGACCAUGGACUUUUGUUAAUUACAUAGUACAUCCAUUUCAACUUGUCCAACUGUGAUUUAUCGGCAUUCUCCUUUAGCCAGUCUCUCAAAGAUGGAUUGCUAUACCAAACCUGCACAUAAAAGAUCUUGUCCAUGAUUGUUGCAGCUUUAACAAGUAGAUUUAGUGCUUCUUUGUCUGCU
This 399-nucleotide unclassified non-coding RNA is filed under the name Hevea brasiliensis (rubber tree). The record is from RNAcentral. Lineage: Eukaryota; Viridiplantae; Streptophyta; Magnoliopsida; Malpighiales; Euphorbiaceae.